Cercocebus atys (sooty mangabey) is the source of this 741-nucleotide long non-coding RNA. RefSeq lists it as uncharacterized. The transcript has 4 exons. The record is from RefSeq and is a predicted model, not a curated record. NCBI's taxonomy places the organism in Eukaryota, Metazoa, Chordata, Mammalia, Primates, Cercopithecidae.
AGGAGCAGAUGCGCAAGGUCCCGGCGGCGGCGAGGAUGAGUCGCUAGGCCCAGGCGGGAGCGGCCCUGAACGGUGUGCUUUACCCUGGUUGCUCGCGCCGGGCCAGGCCUGCCAUCUCGACCUCUCUGUGAGUUUUUCCCCUGCAUUUACUUCAGGCUGCCGCCCUUCUCCAUAAGAUUGUAUCCACAAGUACCAGCGGAGUACCUGACACAUAGUAGACACAAAUCAGGCUGAAGAAUCACUAUGAGGGAGAACUGAGAAAUAAGACCAUUUGCAUCAACAGGAAUUUGAACUUUCCUACAGAUCAAUUUAUUGGACAUAAUCUGAUGACCUGGGAAUCUGGCGGCCUGGGAAAACUGCUCACUUAUCAAACAGGGGCUUCUAUUUUAAGAUUUGAUUAGAGACCUUCACUGUACUAUGUCUACAAAUCCUAAAUGAUUAUACCAAAACUUUUAUCCAAUCCUAAUCAGUUCUCUCUCUUGAAAGAUCUACCUUAAAUCACCUGGGCUCAGACCUCACCGUCUUAUAACCAUCUCAGUGCUGAUAGCCUUCUUUUGAGAUACUGCUAAAACUUUCUCAAGAUGGUGUUCUCCUUUAGUGCAGAAAUUCCAAAUAAAGUUGGUUUUGCUAUGUUAACAAGUUGUUGGGUGACAUUUUUGGAAGUUUAGCAAAAAUCUGUAUAAACAUCUUUGGAAAAAAUAAGGUUACCAUUUCUUAUAAUGUUUAGAUUUAAUAUGUUGA